This 17-nucleotide transfer RNA is filed under the name Cicadatra karachiensis. Its description in RNAcentral is "partial tRNA-Lys". The record is from RNAcentral. Lineage: Eukaryota; Metazoa; Arthropoda; Insecta; Hemiptera; Cicadidae.
CAUUAAGUGGCUGAAAG